CCUACGGGAGGCAGCAGUGGGGAAUAUUGCACAAUGGGGGAAACCCUGAUGCAGCGACGCCGCGUGAGUGAAGAAGUAUUUCGGUAUGUAAAGCUCUAUCAGCAGGGAAGUAAAUGACGGUACCUGACUAAUAAUCCCCGUCUAACUACGUUCCAGCAGCCGCGGUAAUACGUAGGGGGCAAGCGUUAUCCGGAUUUACUGGGUGUAAAGGGAGCGUAGACGGAGCGGCAAGUCUGAAGUGAAAGGCAGGGGCUUAACCCCUGAACUGCAUUGGAAACCGGCAUGCUAGAGUGCUGGAGAGGUAAGUGGAAUUCGUAGUGUAGCGGUGAAAUGCGUAGAUAUUAGGAAGAACACCAGUGGCGAAGGCAGCUUACUGGACAGUAACUGACGUUGAGGCUCGAAAGCGUGGGGAGCAAACAGGAUUAGAUACCCUAGUAGUC
This 440-nucleotide ribosomal RNA is filed under the name uncultured bacterium. RNAcentral describes it as "partial 16S ribosomal RNA". It matches the Rfam family "Bacterial small subunit ribosomal RNA", at positions 338 to 795 of the family's 1533-position model. The record is from RNAcentral.